RNAcentral lists this ribosomal RNA (395 nucleotides) under Macellicephala sp. 35 PB. Its description in RNAcentral is "partial 16S ribosomal RNA". The stretch from base 78 to 395 matches the Rfam family "Bacterial large subunit ribosomal RNA", at positions 2045 to 2597 of the family's 2925-position model. The record is from RNAcentral. Lineage: Eukaryota; Metazoa; Annelida; Polychaeta; Phyllodocida; Polynoidae.
CAUUUGCCUUUUAAUUAAAGGAUAGUAUGAAAGGAAAAACGAAAUUUAAUCUUUAUUAUUUUUAUAAACAUAAUUUAUACUUCAGGUGAAGAUCCCUGAAUUAAUUUGAAAGACAAGAAGACCCUAUAGAAUUUUAGUUAGUUUUCCUCCCCUUCUCCUCCUAACUUUUGUUGGGGCGACCGAAGAUUAAUAAAAACAUCUUCCACAUACACCAAACCACCCUUUACACUUAUGAUCCUGGUAACAGAAUAACAAAAUAAAUUACCUUAGGGAUAACAGGCUAAUCUUCUUAUAGAGUUCAAAUCGACAAGAAGGUUUGGCACCUCGAUGUUGGCUUAGAGAACCAAGUUGCUGCAGCAAGUAACUCUGGUAGUUUGUUCAACUAAUAACCCUCU